RNAcentral lists this long non-coding RNA (640 nucleotides) under Ananas comosus (pineapple). RNAcentral describes it as "long non-coding RNA (ACOM_LNC015888)". Lineage: Eukaryota; Viridiplantae; Streptophyta; Magnoliopsida; Poales; Bromeliaceae. The record is from RNAcentral.
UCUUAAAUAUAUGUGUAUAUAUAUAGAGAGAGAGAGAGAGUUGAGCUGGAAUACAAUCGAUAGCAAAUAAGUUCUGUUGUUAUUCAUUUGUUUUCAAUGAUGGAGCCUCCAAAUCGAUGAUCGGCAUCGUUGAACAUGAUCUAUACCACUUGAAGCAUCUAAAAACCAAAUUUUAUGUCUUUUCGAUAUUAUUUUCUUGUCCAUAAAUUGGACGCAAAAAUGAACGGCUGAAAAUUAGUAUCUUUUAAAAUAUAAUAAUAGAAGUUUUAUAAUCCAGAUUAAGAGUAUAGAUCUUGUUCUAAAUAGUUUAAAAACUUUUCUAACCAAAAUUUAAUUGAUUCAGAUACUUUACGCCGUUAAACGAGAAAACGUUUUAUAUCGACCACUAAAAUUAUAACUUUUGCAACCCUUUGAUCAUUAGGUUGAUAAUGUCGAAAAAAUUUAAAAUUUGAUUUCUAAAUACUUCAAGUGGCAUAGAUCAUAUUCAAUGAUGCCGAUCAUCGAUUUAGAGCCUUCAUCAUCAACAAUAAAUGAAUGGCAACGAAACCCAUUUGUCAUCGAUAGCAUUCCAGCUCAACUCUCUCUCUCUCUCUCUCUCUCUCUCUCUCUCUCUCUCUAUAUAUAUAUAUAUAUAUAUAGU